GAAUUCUGCCAACAGCCUGAACGAACUUGGAAGAGGAGCGGAGCUCCAGAUGAGAACUCCAGCUCAGUCAACAUCUUGAUUUCAGUCUUGAGAGACCCUGAGCAGAGGAUCUAGCUAAACUGUGCCCUGACUCCUGACCUGCAGAGACUGGGUGAUAAUAAAUUGUGGUGUCUGAGGCUCUGAGUUUGUGGUAAUAUCUUUGCAUAGAAAUAGAAAACUAAUACAGCAGGACUCCAGAGAGUCUUAACUUUUGUGUGUCAUGGACCCCAUGGGAAGUCUGGUGAAGCCUAUAAACUUCUGCUCAGAAUUAAUUUUUAAAUACUUACAAUAAAAUACAUACAGUUACAAAAGAAACCGCAUUUAUUGAAACUGAGUAGUAAAAAUAUUAAAAAUGUAUCUGGGUCAGAGGAACAUAUGCACUUAUUUGUUAACGCAUUAAAUAAUAAGACCUAGCAGUGAUCUGAGAACUACCGUAACAUUGAAGAAAUAAUGAGUGCAAACCCUAUUUUGAGACAUCUGUAGCAACAGGGAAGCAAUAUAUAAUUACCUGUAAUAUGUAUGGGUUUCAAGACUGCUUCUGCUCUUAUGGUUGGUUGCCUUCAUUCAUAGCCAAAGGAAAUGCUAAAUUUCGGAUAGAGGUUAGUGAACAUAAAUAGAUAUUUUUUUCCAUCCCAGUACAGGGACCCCUACCUUCUAUCUAGGUUAAGAACCCCAGGCUGAGAAAGUUCUUGGAAGGCUUCCCAACCUCCAUAUUUUCUGAGCUGGUUUCACCUUUCUGAGCGCUUCCCAGCCAGUUCUCUCAAGGAGAAGCACUGACAUUGGACCCUUGUUCACACCCUCAGGAGGGCCAGCCCUCUUGUUUAUCCCCAGCUUAUUUUUCUUUAAUUAUGAGGAUUACUUGAUCUGCAUGUGUGAUUCAUGUCUUUCUGAUUAUGCAGAAUUAACUGUAAUAGAACACAGCUGCACCAAGAUCAACUCUGGGUGUAUCUGUCUGGGUUUCCAAAUGUCUGUGUUGUAAAUGCCUUCCUGGGGGAGGCUGAAGCUCAUAACUCGAGUGGCAAAGCCAGAGUUCCAGGCCGUGACCCUCCUUUAGUCUACACUGCCCAUCCCUGCUCCCUUCCCUUCUCUGCCCUCCCAGGGUGGGCCACAGGUGUGUGCUUGUGGAACCUGCUUUCUACCCUCUGCUCUCUGCGCUGUCACAGUUAGAAAUGGAUGUUCUCUCUCUUGGCUGUGCUGUAAAUCAAUGUAAUGUGUGUUUCCCAAUCGUUUCUUUACUUCUUUCUUUACUCUUUACUUUUUCAAAAAAUUGCAAGCAUGUGGCUUUAAAAUUGAAAGAAUGCUUAAGAGCUUAUGAUACAUUUCUUCCCUCUCUUGUCCCAACUCCUGUUUCUAUUUUCUGUCCCCCUGUUGGUUACUUCUUUAACUUUACAUAACAUAUCUAUUAUUUCUUGACUUAUUAACUUUACAUGAAGUCUGUUGACUCGCUGUUAUGAAAGAUGGGGGUUUAACUCACUUUACUCCCAUUUCCCAUCUAUGGUAGUUUUAUUGUCUUAGCUCUAUUGCUUGCCUUUAUCAUACCUUUAUUGAUGUCAGCUUUAGCACAAUAUCUGCCCACUCUUCCUUCUGCUUUUCUGUUUCAUUUUCUUUCACAUGUAUAUUUGCUUUCAUAUUGUCAAGCUUAGCAUUAUUUACUUUCUCUUCUUGAACCGAAAUUACAUCUUCAAUACGUUCUCUAUAGAUUAAUUUUAAAAGUGAGAAAUUAGCAAAUACCUUUUGUCUAACUUUGACUGUCGAAAUAUGAUUCUAUGCAGGGCCAGGUGGUGGCUAGGACCACAGGUCUAAUGUGAUGACCUCCUGGACCACUUGAGGAAGAAAGUACCAAUCGGCAAGUUCAUCCAAUUCUCGUAUUAUGUGUGGCUUCCAGCUCUGCUAGCAAUGGUUGGGGGUGAAGCAAAAAUGUACACACCUGGUGGAUAUGACCUUUAGGGCAUUAUGACUCAAGAGGAAACCUGGGAAGAUACAGAUGUGUGUGUCUGAGAAUGGAAAGAAAUGUGAACAGCAUUAGCAUAUGAGAGAUAAAUGGAGAACAAAGAGAAAAUAGAGAAAACAAAAGGAGAAUCUGUCUAGAGUGGCUUCCAUUAAGAAAAGUUUUAUAAAAGCAUCAGAUAUGAACAGCAAUGGAGGUCUAGAGAUUGGCGUAAGGCCAAUGACAUUGGUCUGGAUGGUAUGCCUAAAUUUAGGAUGACUUUUGUGACAGAACGGAUUGAGGUGAGCCACUGCUUGAAGUAUGGGUGAAUGUAAGAAAAUUUGACCCACUAUUACAGCCAGCCAUUGAUACAUCUGCAUUCAUCCACAAAGGAAUUUUCUUUCUCAAUGACCAAAGAAAGUAUGCACAAUCAUUCUUGUCAUGGACAGGAAAUAGAGAAGUCCUUGGAGGAGACUGUCUGAUGCUUUAGUUCUCAUACUAAGAUCGCUUUCUAUUAUAUAAAUUAUUUUGCAGUUGGAUGUAGAAAUACUAUCUUAGGGAAGUCACAAAGUGGUCAGAUUUCUACAUGAAAAAAAGAAAGGAAAAAGUCCAAAAGGAAAAAUCAUUGAACAAUGAUACUUCCUCACUGUUCCGUGGGUAGAACUGAUAAAAAAUCGCCCACUGUGAAAAAUCCCUUGUAUGGCCUUCUCCUCUGGCAGUCUUGCUGAUCAAUUCUUUUUAUUGAUACAUUCACUGCCAGUUAACUGUGAGGAAAAAAAGCAAACCAAUGUGUAGUUUGUUUUACCUUUGGUUCUGACUUGUGAGAGGUUAAAAAUACUCAAAAUGAGCUGGUCCCCCUUUAAGGCAGUUCUCUACCCUGACAGUCCAUUAGAAUCACCCAAAGAACUUUUAAAAAUCCCUGUGCCCAGGUCCAUCCCAUUCUCAGGGUAGGAUCCAGGCACCAAUGUUUGAAAAUCUGCCUAUGUGGUUCCAGUGAGUAAACAAGGCUGAACACCACUGCUUUAAAUGAUAAGCUAGUAAACCAAAAGAUCAGAGCGAGGAAAUGAGAUACAACUAGAAGUAGCAACACCAGUAAUAAAGAAUGGAGCUGACUGAAAAUCAUGGUCAUCUUAAGAGGUGGAGUGCAUUUCCCACUCCUUGAAUCUGGACUGGCGUUGUGAUUUAUUUUGGUCAAUAGAAUAUGGUAGAAGUGACAUGAGGUGAGCCUCCGUGCAGCUUCUGCCUUCAUUCUUUGGCAUAUUGCUCUUGCCAUGUAAGGAAGCCUGGGAUAGACUACUGAACCAUGAGAGACUACAUGGAGAGAUGCCCAGUCAAUAGGCAGCAUCAACCUCUAGACUCGUGAGUGGGGUCAUCUUGGAUCAUCCAACUCCAGUAGCCCAUCUAACACUUCAUGGAGCAGAAGUGAACCAUCCCUUCUGAGCCUGGUCAAAUUUUCUACCUAUAGAAAUAUGACAAGAAAUAAAUGGUUGUUGUUUGAAGUCAUUACAUUUUGGAAUAGUUUCUUAUGCAGCAAUCAAUGUAAAGAUAUAGGAAAGAAAAAUUUGAAGCUAAACUGUCAGAUGAGUCUGUGGCAGCCAGCCUCCAAGUUAGUCCUCAAUGAUGCCCACCUCCUGGCAUUCAGGCUCCUAUGUUGUCCCUUCCAACAUUUUACCAGGGCUGGUCUGUGUCCCACAGAAUAUUGCAAAGUAUGGUAUGUGACUUCUGAGGCUAGAUCAAGAAGUUUAUUGUGGCUUCAGCCAGCUGCCUUUCUCCCUCUUGCAUAAAGAUUCCAGAUACAACACCAUGAGGAUGCUCAAGCAGCCUAUGGGAAAUUCUGUGCAGUGAGAACCUGAGUUAUCUUGCCAAUAGCCGUGUAUGUGAGCCAUCAUGGAAGCAGAUCCUCCAACCUCAGUCAAGCUUUUGGAUGAACACAGCCUCUACUAAGUUUCUGACUGCAAAUUUUUGAGAGACCCAUACAAGAACCACCAGCUAAGCUGCUCCCAAAUUUCUGACCUGAAGAAACUAUAAAAAACUAAAUGGUUUUUAUUUUAAGUCACUAAGUCUUGCGGUCAUUUGUUAUGCAGCAAUAAAUAACUAGUAUAAGGUCCUUUAGUUUUGGAUGGAUUCUACCAGAGAGAAUAGGCCUAAUGUGUCAAGUUAAAGCACUUGAGGGGAAGAAGGGUAAUUCAGCAUCUACAAUUAAAGGUCGGGAUAUGGGGUCAAUGGCAUGGUAGUGAACUGGAUAAGCAGUGCUUUGCAGCCCAGUUUCCAGGGGAACUGGAAAAUGGUGUAUUUAUUAGGAGCGCCAGGUGGUUAUCCCAGGAAAUGACAAUCCCGCGGAGGAACAGAAUUCAGUCCUGUCGGAGGUGAAAAUCUGCCACUGGAAGGGUAUUUAGGAGCUUCAGUUAUAUAGAUUGGAAAACUGCAGGUUGAUGGGCUGACCAUUAUACACACCUCCAGGGAACUACAGAAGCCACUUAUAGCUGAGAAAAAGAAGGACAUAGAAAUUCGUGUUAAGAGGUGAUAAAAAGAAAUGUACUAUUUUUGGACCAAAUACAGCUAAGGCCCAAAGUGAAAAAGGAAAGGGAGUUGGAAAAUGAGGAGAAGGAUUAUGCAACAGAAACCAGGAAGGAGAAAAAAAAAUUUAAACAAAAUUUAAAAUGGAACAAAAUCUAAAAACAAUUAGCAUUUUUUUAAAAAAGUAAAUAAGUUAGGAAAGUUUUUAUCUUUCUCUCUUAACUGCUAUAAUGAUCACCAAGCAUGUCACAAUCUGCAAUAACAGCAGGAAAAUUAGGAGUAAAAUGUGCAUGUAAGAUGAAACUGAAUCAUUUCAAAGAAGGAUGCUAAUAUGUAAAUUUCAGACAGAUUGCCAGUUCCUGAAAGCACAGCCUAGAUACAAAGUAGAGUGGAGAAGACAGGAGAAGUGCCAGCAGCUCAGCAGUUAAUAAGUAGAGGUGGGUGAGCAAAAAUAAGUAAACAUUAAUUCACUAAAAUAAAGGUCUCUGUGCUAUGGAA
This is a long non-coding RNA of Equus quagga, 4981 nucleotides long. RefSeq lists it as uncharacterized. NCBI's taxonomy places the organism in Eukaryota, Metazoa, Chordata, Mammalia, Perissodactyla, Equidae. The transcript is spliced from 2 exons. The record is from RefSeq and is a predicted model, not a curated record.